Molecule: ribosomal RNA, 490 nt
Filed under: uncultured bacterium
Lineage: Bacteria
Description: partial 16S ribosomal RNA
Rfam family: Bacterial small subunit ribosomal RNA
Source: RNAcentral
AUUGAACGCUGGCGGCAGGCCUAACACAUGCAAGUCGAACGGUAACAGGAAACAGCUUGCUGUUUCGCUGACGAGUGGCGGACGGGUGAGUAAUGUCUGGGAAACUGCCUGAUGGAGGGGGAUAACUACUGGAAACGGUAGCUAAUACCGCAUAACGUCGCAAGACCAAAGAGGGGGACCCUCGGGCCUCUUGCCAUCGGAUGUGCCCAGAUGGGAUUAGCUUGUUGGUGGGGUAACGGCUCACCAAGGCGACGAUCCCUAGCUGGUCUGAGAGGAUGACCAGCCACACUGGAACUGAGACACGGUCCAGACUCCUACGGGAGGCAGCAGUGGGGAAUAUUGCACAAUGGGCGCAAACCUGAUGCAGCCAUGCCGCGUGUAUGAAGAAGGCCUUCGGGUUGUAAAGUACUUUCAGCGGGGAGGAAGGGAGUAAAGUUAAUACCUUUGCUCAUUGACGUUACCCGCAGAAGAAGCACCGGCUAACUCCGUG